UACGGGGGGGGCAAGCGUUGUUCGGAAUUACUGGGCGUAAAGGGCUCGUAGGUGGCCAACUAAGUCAGACGUGAAAUCCCUCGGCUCAACCGGGGAACUGCGUCUGAUACUGGAUGGCUUGAAUCCGGGAGAGGGAUGCGGAAUUCCAGGUGUAGCGGUGAAAUGCGUAGAUAUCUGGAGGAACACCGGUGGCGAAGGCGGCAUCCUGGACCGAUAUUGACGCUGAUGCGCGAAAGCCAGGGGAGCAAACGGG
RNAcentral lists this ribosomal RNA (253 nucleotides) under uncultured bacterium. RNAcentral describes it as "partial 16S ribosomal RNA". It matches the Rfam family "Bacterial small subunit ribosomal RNA", at positions 524 to 776 of the family's 1533-position model. The record is from RNAcentral.